RNAcentral lists this transfer RNA (85 nucleotides) under Felis catus (domestic cat). It matches the Rfam family "tRNA". Rfam says of the family: Transfer RNA (tRNA) molecules are approximately 80 nucleotides in length. Lineage: Eukaryota; Metazoa; Chordata; Mammalia; Carnivora; Felidae. The record is from Rfam by way of RNAcentral.
GCUUGGGUGGCUCAGUUGGUUAAGCAUCCGACUUCAGCUCAGGUCAUGAUCUCAUGGUUUGUGGGUUCAAGGCCCGCUUCAGGCU